Molecule: long non-coding RNA, 6602 nt
Organism: Hypanus sabinus (Atlantic stingray)
Lineage: Eukaryota; Metazoa; Chordata; Chondrichthyes; Myliobatiformes; Dasyatidae
Exons: 2
Source: RefSeq, a predicted model, not a curated record
GCCGACUGGGUACACAUUUGCGCGAACACGUCAGUUGGAGUGUUGAGCUCCAGAAAGAUAAUGUCAGCUUCAACUCUGCUCCUGCAUUUGGUAUCUUCAGCUGUGCAUUCAUUGUGGCCAAGGAAGAACUUAGGAAAGGAUUUAUUCCUGCUGCAUCUGAUGUAAGGAAGAGCAAUUAUGGUAGCACUCUGCUAGCUGGCUGGAGAGAUCAAGGACAUCCUCAGUAACUCACUGCUGCAAUCAGAGGUUUCCACCUGCUUCAAAAGCGCAUCAGUAAUUCCAGAGGAAGAGCAAGGUGAGCUUCCUCAAUAACUAUCACUCUGUAGCCCUCACAUCUAGGGUGAUGAAGUGCUUUGGGAGGUUGGUGUGUAGAAUCCAAACCCUGGCCUAAGCAAGGAUCUAGGCCCACUACAAUUUGCCUACCACCACAAUAGCUCUACAACGGCUACAUUCUCACUUGCUGUCUAUUCAACACAAUGGCACAGCCUGCACAACAGCAAUACCUACACCACGCUGCUGUUUAUUGAUUACAGCUCAGUGUUCAACACCACCAUCUCCUCAGUACUAAUCAACAAGCUUCAAAACCUGGGCUUUUGCACUGUACUGUUGCUGCAAGGCAACACAUUUCAUGGUACUUAUCAAUUAUAAUAGAACUGAUUUUGAUAUCUCCAUGGCCUUUAGUCACUGUGAUAAUCUCCUGCCUCACUCUUUGGAGGGUUCCAGACCAACUGGAUGUUUGCAGACCUGCUGAAUGGUUCCAGGAUUUUCUGCUUCAUUUCAGAUCUCCAGAAUCGGCAACAUUUCACUUUCAGUGCGGAACUCUUUUUAUUUUACAUUGCUUAUUUUAAAGGUUGGUUAUUUCUAAUGGACAUCAAAAUAACUGCAAAAACUGGGAAUCUGAAAUAAAAGCAGGAAGUGCUGGAAACACCUGGCUGGUUAGGCAACAUUUGCUGGAAGAGUAAGCUAAUAUUUCAGAUCUGUAACCUUUCAUAAGAAGGAUACGAAAUCUUAACUCUGCUUCCCUUUCCAUAGGUUCUCGCUGGCUUGCUUUAGUGCUUCCAAUAUUUUCAGUGGAUAUUUCCAAUGUCCGUUCUAACUCGACAGUCUAGUGCAGUACUGAGGGAGAGCUUCCUGGUCAGAAAUGCCACCCCUCUCACCAAAUGGCAAACCAAAAGGCCCUGUUUGUCUCGGGUAGGUGUGAAGAGUACCGUGGGAAUAUAUUGAAGAAUAGGGACAUUGCCCCUUUGUCCAAGCACACACCUCACCUGGAAUCCCAUAAAAGCAAAUUAUUUGCUCAUUAUCUCAUAGGUCUUGAAAAAGCUUAUGUUGCAUAACUUUGUUAGAGUACUUUGUACAUUAUAACAGUUAUCACAUCUCAAAGGUCUGUAGCUGGCUUUUGCAAUGGGAGUAUCCAGAGCUUGUGGAAGUCAUAAUAUUAAUCCAUAUAAUUUUUCCCUUAGUAACACACACAAAAUGCUGGAGGAACUCAUCUCAGUCCAAAACGUCAACUGUACUUUUUUCAACGGGUGUUCCUUGGCCUGCUGAGUUCCACUAGCAUUUUGUGUGUGUUGCUUGAACUUUCAGCAUCUGCAGAUUUUCUCGUUUGUAAAUUUUUCCUUACAUUAUUCCUUGCACUUGGAAGGUCAUACUGAUGCAUCCUCUGAGAGUCAUCCCAUUCCCUGAUUUUCCUCCUUGCAACAUCCUCUCUCUCAAAUGCCCAUCAUCUUCAGAUGCGACACUUGCAGAGGCCAGUUCAUCUCCCAACCAUUAUUUCUUUGGAAUGUGGGAGGAAGUAGGACAGCCGAGGGACGACCACAUAGUCAGAGAGAGAAUGCAAACUUGGUGCAGACUGGACUGGAGGUCGGCAUUGAACAUAGCCUGUGAGAACUGUAAGGCAGCUGAUCUGUUUGCUGUACCAACCUCCUGCCUUGUCGUUUAAUAUUCCUCAUGGGAACGCAGGUGCUACAGACAUCGGCUCUACAACACCUGGCUAACCUGAAACCUCUCAUGUUACUUCAUAGUAAACUAUAAACCUACUGAUUUUCAAGUAAUAAGUAUUUAUUGUUACAAAUGGCUUAAGACACAGAUUAGAACAUGUUAGAACUACUUUCUGAUACACAGUGUUGUACAGCUAAUGAAAAAUUUGAUGUACGUUUUUAUUCUCCUCAUAAACAGUGAUCUUGUAUGGGGUGGCAAAAAUCACAAUUACCUUCUCUUUAAUUUCCGUCCUGGUUGUGAUUCAAUUGGUAACAGGUUGUUGUGUUCGUAUUUGAUCCACAAACAUCAUAAACUUACUGACCUAGAUUCAAGUUUUGUCAGAUAAUGCCACUGUGGGACAACAGAUCAAUCUUCCACCCAGAAAGUAGAUCUCCGCUGUUUCAUCAGAAGGAUCUGCCACUCGGAGCUUUGGUGCAUUUAGGGAUCAUCUUGACGUGACCAAAACCAAACAGAAUUUCUGUCAUUUUAACCUUUUAGUGGGAUUGAUUGGUCAUUGUUUUGUGCUUCUGUGCAUUUUCAUUUAGUUUAUAAGAUGGACAGGACUUUAUUUAUUACACACUCAUGAUUGCUGAUGGUAAACUGUUUCCUGAAUUUGAAGUCAUCCGUCAGAUGAAGGUUUAUCCGCAGAGCUGCUUAGUUGUAAGUUCCAGGAUUUGCACCUUCUCCCCGCCCCCCCCCGUAAUAAAAACACACUUUCCAUGCCAGCAAGGAGAAUGAUUGAUUUGCAAGGAAAUUUACUAGUUGUGGUGCUUCCAUAUUUCUUCUAUGUGGUAGGGUUAGGCGGUUGACGUGUAUACAUGGAGGUUUGUCAAGGUGUCUAUCUCAUGUAAAUCUUGUUCAAGCUACGUAUAGGAUUACUCUGUUACUUUCCUGAUGUGUGUCUUGGAGAUGGAGGGUCAGGAGGAAUUGCUGCAACAGGAUAACUAUCUAUAAUGUGGAGAUCUAGCAAUAGAAAUUACCACCAAUAUGAAAUUGAUAUUAUGCAAGCUUUAUCAACGUACCAGGGCUUGGUCAGGUCCUAACUUGAUUGAGUACUGUUGGAUACAUAUGUCAAGGAUUCAUGCCCAACAGCACAUCUUAUUUUUAAUUUAAUUUACUCAUUUAAUCUUCAGUUUAUGUUGAAUUUUAAAGGGAAAAUUGCACAGGAAUUGUUUGUAUCCUGAGAAUUCCAAGGCAUCCUUUGAAGACUUUGCUGGGUCUUUGUCAUUGUACCAUUAAUUUCUCUCCAUAAUUUCUUAUGAUAUUCCAGUGUCUCCUCCCACAUGAAAAAUGGUGUUAGAAUAGUCUAGGAAAGUAAUUAUAGAACAUUUUGUAUGUGAUGCACGUUGCAGUUGGAGUGGCCAAGGACACAUGCUCUUGUAACCUCUGUACUGGUAUGGCUGUUCCAGCCAAGUCUCUGACCAACGGUGUUCUCAGGAUAUAUGAUGGAUGCAGCAGGAUUGAUGCCACCAAAGGUUAGCGGUAGAUGGUUAGAAACUCUCAUAGGUAACAAUGAAGAAACUGAAGAUGGUUUGGAUGGUUUGUACUGACCAAUAUAAAUUAAUUUCAUUCAUUCAUUCAUUCAUCUGGUAAGUAGCAAGACAUCAACAAAGAAAAGAAAAAUCCCUGGUUUGAUCAUUGUGGUUUGAGGUAUUUCUGCUGAUGGAGAGAUUCCGCAUACACCUAGCAUAUAAAAUCUGAAGGAACAUCUUGAUUUUGGCUGACAGAUUUGCAAACAUCACUAAAUAAUCAAAUGACACCAUUUAGUAGCUCAAGCAGAUGCAUCAGUUCAAUGUGAGCGUUAACAGUUCAGAGGAAAGAGAUUUCCUGAUUUGAGCCUUUUCUAUUUAAAGUUACUAAAAUUAUUUGGAAAUAACAAAUUACAUUUGCAAUCUUGUGUCUUCACCAUAGCUUUCAGCACAUGUGUUGGUGUGUGCAUGUGCAGGGGCUCCUGUCUUCUAUCAGUGAAGCACCAUUCUUUCACUUGGCUUGCAAUUUACCACAUUACUUGCAUGCUUCACGUCUCGUAUAUUUCUUUCUGUUUGUGCCUUUUUGAACCAAUCUUCACCCUGUUUUAUAUUAAAGGUAUUUCUACUCUAUUAACAAAUUAAAUAAUUUUUAACAUCACAGUUCCUCCAUACUUUCAGGAGCACCUCUUUGCACUUCAGAGAAGCCUUGUUUAAUUUAUCAUUCUUAUUGAUUAUUUAUUGAAAUUUUAUUCAUCUGGGAGUGCUGAUUAGACACAGGCAUCAGAACAUAUGGGUGAAUCUCUCUAUCAUCAUUCAAAAGGAACAUUGCAGAAGGAAUUAUGCAAUUAGGUAUUCAUCUGAGAUGCAAACACUUCAUUUGUGUAGAUGUAAUUACUGAUAAGUAAAGCACACAUGAAUUUAAGGAACUGUACGACAAGAUGGAAAUGAUUAUGAUCAUGUUCUACUCCAGAAUAAAUUGAUUUUCUUCUAUGCACUGUUAAAGAAGAAACAGAACCUAGAUUUCCAGGGCCAAGGCAGAAUUCUGAACAAGUCACUGGUCUCUGUCUCACAGGCCAAUGUCGCAACGUCCUUCAACAGGGUGACUCCCUGCAAGGCAUAAGGCCAGAUGGUGUACGUGACAAGGUACCGAAAUACUGUGCUAGCAAACUGGCUGUAGUGUUCAGGGACGUGUUUAACUUUCCACUUGCUUCAAAAGGGCACCAAUUGCACCAGUGUCCCAGAAUAGCAAGGUGAGCAACCUCAAAGACAUGUCACCCAGUUGCACUCACAUUUAGUGUGUUGGGAGGCUAGUCAUGGCUAGAACUAACUCCUGUCUAGACCUGCUGCAAUUUCCCUACCUCCACAACAUGUCUACAGUGGAUUCAAUCUCACUGGCUCACCACACACAGCUUUGUAGCACCUGUACUACAGCAGUAACUACAUCACACCGCUGUUUAUUGAUGCAGCGUGACAUUCAGCACCAUCAUCCCCUCAGGACUAAUCAAUAUGAUUCAAAACCUAGGCCUCUGUAUCUGCAAAUACAUCCUCAGGAGACCACAGACAACAUGGAUCAGAAAUAACAUCUCCUUGUUGAUAUCUAAUGCAGCUACACCUCAAGAAUGCAUUCCUAGCCCACUGCUCUACUCUCUUUACACUCAUGAUUGUGUGGCUUGGCACAGCUCAAGUGCCAUCAGUGAAUUUGCAGAUAACACCACUGUUAUUAGCAGAAUCUCAGAUGACAAUGAGGCGAUGCACAGGAGUGUGAAAGAGAAGGUGGUUGAGUGGUGUCACAACAACAACCUCACAUUCAAUGUCAGGUAGACCAAGGAAACAAUAAUGGACUUCAGGAAAGGGAAGUUGGGAGAACACGUAACAGUCCUUGUGGGUUCAGUGGUGGAAAGAUUGAGCAGUUUCCAGUUCCUGGAGAUCAACAUCUGAGAUGAUCUAUCCUAGGCCCAACACAUUGAUGCAGUCAUGAAGAAGGCACACCAGUGACUAUACUUAAUUAAGAUUUUGAGGAGAUUUGGUGUGUCACCAAGAUACCUGUAAAUUUCAGUAGAUGUACGGUGCUGCUGGUGAAUCUCAGUGACUUCUGGCUUGUGGCUAAUGAAACAAGGAAAGCAACUAAGUACUUUGUUAAUCGUUCAUUUUCAAGUAAACGAUCAUUGCAAGCAAUAGUCUGUAGCCUCUCUUUGGACUUGGAGGCAAUUUGAUGUGACAGAACCGAGGUGAGGCAGCAGGCCUGUUGCGAGAGCAAAAAAAUCUGAGGUUUGAACGAUUUAAGUGCCAGGCCUAAUCAGAAGGGUCGGAUGCAGGCCAAAUUGAGGUAAAGGGGUCCAGUCCUAAGAGCCGUUCAAACCAAAUAAACCCAAUGUUGGACGAUGAUUUAAGUCCCAUGCCGAAUUGGAAAGGUCGGGUACAGGCCAAAUCGAGGUGGCAGGGUUCCGGCCACGGAGUGUACUGCAGCCAUUGAACCCAAUGCUUGGACGCCGGGUUAGGGUGUCGGAGCCCAAGGUGAGAGAUGACUGGUUCAGCUUGCUGCUUGGCUCUGUGCUGAAUGAAAAGUUCAGAAUGUUAUCAGCUUGUGUUUAUUUUUUGCAUGAUUUGUUUUUUUCUCUCUCUGCACAUUGGGUGUUUGACAGUCUUUUAAAAAUAAAUUAAUUUGGGUUCCUUUGUUUCAUGGCUGCUGGUCAGGAGACAUUUCAAGAUUGUAUAAUGUAUGCAUACUUCGAUAUAAGUGCACUUUGAACUCUGAGCUUUGAGAGCAUUCUGGCUGGUUGCAUCACUGCCUGGUAUGGAAGUUCCAUGAUACCGCAUCGAAAGAGACUCCAGGGGAUCGAUCACUCAGCCAGCUCCAUCAUGGACAUCUUCAGAAGGCGACGCCUCUCAUAAAGGCCCUUUUCUUAUUACUACCAUUGGGAAGGAGGUACAGGAGCCUGAAGACCCACACUCGAUAUUUGAAGAGCAUCUUCUUUCCUCCUCCAUCAGAUUUAUGAAGUCCAUGAACAGUGCAUUGUUAUUUCCUCUAAUGCAUUAUUUAUUUUUUUAUGUAAUUUACAGUGAUUCAUAAUCAUUUUAAUGUCAUGACUGUACUGCUGCAAAACAACAAACUUCAUAAUGUAUGUUAGUGAUAAUAAACCUGAUGCUGAUUCUGAA